Molecule: ribosomal RNA, 1521 nt
Filed under: Brenneria salicis ATCC 15712 = DSM 30166
Lineage: Bacteria; Pseudomonadati; Pseudomonadota; Gammaproteobacteria; Enterobacterales; Pectobacteriaceae
Description: bacterial SSU rRNA
Rfam family: Bacterial small subunit ribosomal RNA
Source: RNAcentral
AUGGCUCAGAUUGAACGCUGGCGGCAGGCCUAACACAUGCAAGUCGGGCGGUAGCACAGAGGAGCUUGCUCCUUGGGUGACGAGCGGCGGACGGGUGAGUAAAGUCUGGGGAUCUGCCUGAUGGAGGGGGAUAACUACUGGAAACGGUAGCUAAUACCGCAUGACGUCUUCGGACCAAAGUGGGGGACCUUCGGGCCUCACGCCAUGAGAUGAACCCAGAUGGGAUUAGCUGGUAGGUGAGGUAACGGCUCACCUAGGCGACGAUCCCUAGCUGGUCUGAGAGGAUGACCAGCCACACUGGAACUGAGACACGGUCCAGACUCCUACGGGAGGCAGCAGUGGGGAAUAUUGCACAAUGGGGGGAAACCCUGAUGCAGCCAUGCCGCGUGUGUGAAGAAGGCCUUCGGGUUGUAAAGCACUUUCAGCGGGGAGGAAGGCGAUAAACUUAAUAAGUUUGUUGAUUGACGUUACCCGCAGAAGAAGCACCGGCUAACUCCGUGCCAGCAGCCGCGGUAAUACGGAGGGUGCAAGCGUUAAUCGGAAUGACUGGGCGUAAAGCGCACGCAGGCGGUGUGUUAAGUUGGAUGUGAAAUCCCCGGGCUCAACCCGGGAACAGCAUUCAAAACUGACAGGCUAGAGUCUCGUAGAGGGGGGUAGAAUUCCAGGUGUAGCGGUGAAAUGCGUAGAGAUCUGGAGGAAUACCGGUGGCGAAGGCGGCCCCCUGGACGAAGACUGACGCUCAGGUGCGAAAGCGUGGGGAGCAAACAGGAUUAGAUACCCUGGUAGUCCACGCCGUAAACGAUGUCGACUUGGAGGCUGUGGUCUUGAACCGUGGCUUCCGGAGCUAACGCGUUAAGUCGACCGCCUGGGGAGUACGGCCGCAAGGUUAAAACUCAAAUGAAUUGACGGGGGCCCGCACAAGCGGUGGAGCAUGUGGUUUAAUUCGAUGCAACGCGAAGAACCUUACCUACUCUUGACAUCCAGAGAAGACUGUAGAGAUACGGUUGUGCCUUCGGGAGCUCUGAGACAGGUGCUGCAUGGCUGUCGUCAGCUCGUGUUGUGAAAUGUUGGGUUAAGUCCCGCAACGAGCGCAACCCUUAUCCUUUGUUGCCAGCACGUAAUGGUGGGAACUCAAAGGAGACUGCCGGUGAUAAACCGGAGGAAGGUGGGGAUGACGUCAAGUCAUCAUGGCCCUUACGAGUAGGGCUACACACGUGCUACAAUGGCGCAUACAAAGAGAAGCGAGCCUGCGAGGGUGAGCGGACCUCAUAAAGUGCGUCGUAGUCCGGAUUGGAGUCUGCAACUCGACUCCAUGAAGUCGGAAUCGCUAGUAAUCGUAGAUCAGAAUGCUACGGUGAAUACGUUCCCGGGCCUUGUACACACCGCCCGUCACACCAUGGGAGUGGGUUGCAAAAGAAGUAGGUAGCUUAACCUUAGGGGGGGCGCUUACCACUUUGUGAUUCAUGACUGGGGUGAAGUCGUAACAAGGUAACCGUAGGGGAACCUGCGGUUGGAUCACCU